RNAcentral lists this unclassified non-coding RNA (313 nucleotides) under uncultured fungus. RNAcentral describes it as "partial contains small subunit ribosomal RNA, internal transcribed spacer 1, and 5.8S ribosomal RNA". The stretch from base 1 to 73 matches the Rfam family "Eukaryotic small subunit ribosomal RNA", at positions 1759 to 1831 of the family's 1831-position model. The record is from RNAcentral. Lineage: Eukaryota; Fungi.
GCAAACUUGGUCAUUUAGAGGAAGUAAAAGUCGUAACAAGGUUUCCGUAGGUGAACCUGCGGAAGGAUCAUUAACGAAUCUGAAACAAAGCGCACUGCGGGCUGAUGCUGGCUCCUCGGAGCACGUGCACGCCCCUGGGCGCGACUUCAAUUCGCUUACCCUCCCUUGUGCACUCCAUGUAGGUCGUCGACCUCGGCGCCUAUGAUUUUUUCGUACACACCCCGAUCGCAUGUACAUUGUGUAUAACACAAAUACAUAAAAUACAACUUUCAACAACGGAUCUCUUGGCUCUCGCAUCGAUGAAGAACGCAGC